RNAcentral lists this ribosomal RNA (441 nucleotides) under uncultured bacterium. RNAcentral's name for it is "partial 16S ribosomal RNA". It matches the Rfam family "Bacterial small subunit ribosomal RNA", at positions 338 to 795 of the family's 1533-position model. The record is from RNAcentral.
CCUACGGGGUGCAGCAGUGGGGAAUAUUGCACAAUGGGGGAAACCCUGAUGCAGCGAAGCAGCGUGAGUGAAGCAGUCUCUCGGUAUGUAAAGCUAUAUCAGCAGGGAAGAAGAAAGACGGUACCUGACUAAGAAGCACCGGCUAACUACGUGCCAGCAGCCGCGGUAAUACGUAGGGGGCAAGCGUUAUCCGGAUUUACUGGGUGUAAAGGGAGCGUAGAAGGCUGUGCAAGUCUGAAGUGAAAGCCCAGGGCUACACCCUGGGACUGCUUUGGAAACUGUGGAGCUAGAGUGCUGGCGAGGUAAGUGGAAUUCCUAGUGUAGCGGGGAAAUGCGUAGAUAUUAGGAGGAACACCAGUGGCGAAGGCGGCUUACUGGACAGUAACUGACGUUGAGGCUCGAAAGCGUGGGGAGCAAACAGGAUUAGAUACCCGGGUAGUC